Molecule: ribosomal RNA, 404 nt
Filed under: Verrucomicrobiota bacterium
Lineage: Bacteria; Pseudomonadati; Verrucomicrobiota
Description: Verrucomicrobia bacterium partial 16S ribosomal RNA
Rfam family: Bacterial small subunit ribosomal RNA
Source: RNAcentral
UGGGGAAUAUUGCACAAUGGAGGGAACUCUGAUGCAGCGACGCCGCGUGAACGAAGAAGGCUUUCGAGUCGUAAAGUUCUUUUAUAUGGGAAGAUAAUGACGGUACCAUAAGAAAAAGCCCCGGCUAACUACGUGCCAGGAGCCGCGGUAAUACGUAGGUGGCAAGCGUUGUCCGGAAUUAUUGGGCGUAAAGCGCGCGCAGGUGGUUUAGAAAGUCUGAUGUGAAAGCCCACGGCUCAACCGUGGAGGGUCAUUGGAAACUAAUAAACUUGAGUGCAGGAGAGAAAAGUGGAAUUCCUAGUGUAGCGGUGAAAUGCGUAGAGAUUAGGAGGAACACCGGUGGCGAAAGCGGCUUUUUGGCCUGCAACUGACACUGAGGCGCGAAAGCGUGGGGAGCAAACAGG